UCCCGUCCAGUCUCUGACUGCCUUGUAUUUCCUUGGCGACUCUGAUACCAAGAGGCUAGGGCCAGAAGUGUUCAGACUCCUGCUGAUAGGAAACCGAUGCCACUUGCUGGACAAGAUGAACGAAAAUUCUUCUUGUAUAGGUCUUUUUGUGGACACGUGCAUUCAUUUCCCUUGAGGAAUACCAAGUACUGGAAUUGUUGGAUCAUAGGAUCGGCCCUUUCUUCAAAUAAGAGCAGUUGGAACAACAAAAGCUGUUCAGUUGUACCCUUGGAAUCCACGGAAAUCCUGGGUAGGGAAGCUCCAGUACCACCAACUGGAAAGACUGGGAAUGCCUAGUAGCUGGUACUGGCCAUUGUCGUAGGCUUUGUCCACUUUGACAAACUGAAGACGGGGACUCGACUCACCUUCGCCAGCCACAGGAGGACCUCCAGACGAGGACCGGACUCGCCGCCUUUCUUUCCCGUCAGAAAGGGAUCCCUUGCGGACAAGACCGAAGUGAGUAGCUGGUUUCCCCUACGUGUCCUUCCGGGGCUGGGUGUCUCGGGAGCUCAGGCUGACAGGAGACCUAACUACCGGCGACUGAGACCAGCAGGAGCCUGGAGGGGCGCGCACCAGGGUGGAGGUUUGGUGCCGGGGGUUGAGAACAACAGUCAAACCCUCUUCUUCCCUGUACCGCGCACCUGCCCCCUGGGAUGCCGAACGAAGUGGCCCCUAAGGCUUCUCUGCAGGUCCAACCGAAACAGGCCUGAAGUUCCAGGAUGGGCGAGAGGAUCCUCUUUGAGCGAAACCAGCCUUCUGCCUGGCUGGCCCUGGUCAACACACUCGGAAGAGGCCGAUUUGGAGGACAGAACGGAAGAAAAGACCUAAAGUAGAUGAUCCUCAUCCAAUCACUUAAAGGCCUGAAUAGAACCAAAAGUCUGACCUGCCCAUGAGUAAGAGAGAGCUCCUUCUGCCUGAUUGCUUCAGCUGAGAUAUCAGCCUUUUCCUGCCUUUGGAAUUGAACUGCAACACUGGCUCUUCCUGGGCCUCAAGCCUGCCAGCUUUUGAACUGUAAUCACACCAUCAUCUCUCCUGGUUCUCAGGCCUUUGGACUCAAAUCAGAAACACACCAUGGGCUCUCCUGUGUCUCAAGCUUGCCAACUGUGAUCUUGAGACUUCUCAGCCUCCAUAAUCACAUGAGUCAAUUGUUGGUUCUGUUUCUCUGGAGAACCCUAAUCCAUCACUUUACAUAUUUCUUCCAUUACACAUAUUGUUUCCCAGCAUAUUAAAUAAUUUACUGAUUAUAUUUUUGGUUUAUUAUUUAUUUCUCCUCCUGGAAUGUAAGUUUCACAGAGAUCUUGUUCAUUGCUAGAUCUCAAGCCUGGCAUCUAGUAGGC
RNAcentral lists this long non-coding RNA (1376 nucleotides) under Homo sapiens (human). Its description in RNAcentral is "HSALNT0295529". The record is from RNAcentral. Lineage: Eukaryota; Metazoa; Chordata; Mammalia; Primates; Hominidae.